CCUACGGGGGGCAGCAGUGAGGAAUAUUGGUCAAUGGUCGGGAGACUGAACCAGCCAAGCCGCGUGAGGGAUGAAGGUACAGAGUAUCGUAAACCUCUUUUGUCAGGGAACAAAGGCGGGGACGCGUCCCCGGAUGAGUGUACCUGAAGAAAAAGCAUCGGCUAACUCCGUGCCAGCAGCCGCGGUAAUACGGAGGAUGCGAGCGUUGUCCGGAUUUAUGGGGUUUAAAGGGUGGGCAGGGGGUCUGUUAAGUCAGCGGUCAAAGCCCGGGGCUCAACCCCGGCCCGCCGUUGAAACUGGCAGUCUCGAGUUGGAGAGAAGUAUGCGGAAUGCGCGGUGUAGCGGUGAAAUGCAUAGAUAGCGCGCAGAACUCCGAUUGCGGAGGCAGCAUGCCGGCUCCACACUGACGCUGAGGCACGAAAGCGUGGGUAUCGAACAGGAUUAGAUACCCGUGUAGUC
Molecule: ribosomal RNA, 459 nt
Filed under: uncultured bacterium
Lineage: Bacteria
Description: partial 16S ribosomal RNA
Rfam family: Bacterial small subunit ribosomal RNA
Source: RNAcentral